This 586-nucleotide ribosomal RNA is filed under the name Dermacoccus sp. RNAcentral's name for it is "bacterial SSU rRNA". It matches the Rfam family "Bacterial small subunit ribosomal RNA", at positions 224 to 822 of the family's 1533-position model. Lineage: Bacteria; Bacillati; Actinomycetota; Actinomycetes; Micrococcales; Dermacoccaceae. The record is from RNAcentral.
GAUGGACUCGCGGCCUAUCAGCUUGAUGGUGGGGUAGUGGCCUACCAUGGCUUUGACGGGUAGCCGGCCUGAGAGGGUGACCGGCCACACUGGGACUGAGACACGGCCCAGACUCCUACGGGAGGCAGCAGUGGGGAAUAUUGCACAAUGGGCGGAAGCCUGAUGCAGCGACGCCGCGUGGGGGAUGAAGGCUUUCGGGUCGUAAACUCCUUUCAGCAGGGACGAAGCUUUUGUGACGGUACCUGCAGAAGAAGCACCGGCUAACUACGUGCCAGCAGCCGCGGUAAUACGUAGGGUGCGAGCGUUGUCCGGAAUUAUUGGGCGUAAAGAGCUUGUAGGCGGUUUGUCGCGUCUGCCGUGAAAGCCCAGGGCUUAACCCUGGGUCUGCGGUGGGUACGGGCAGACUAGAGUGUGGUAGGGGAGACUGGAAUUCCUGGUGUAGCGGUGAAAUGCGCAGAUAUCAGGAGGAACACCGAUGGCGAAGGCAGGUCUCUGGGCCACUACUGACGCUGAGAAGCGAAAGCAUGGGGAGCAAACAGGAUUAGAUACCCUGGUAGUCCAUGCCGUAAACGUUGGGAACUAGGUG